CCUACGGGAGGCAGCAGUGAGGAAUAUUGGUCAAUGGACGAGAGUCUGAACCAGCCAAGUAGCGUGAAGGAUGACUGCCCUAUGGGUUGUCAACUUCUUUUAUAAAGGAAUAAAACGAGGCACGUGUGCCUUUUUGCAUGUACUUUAUGAAUAAGGAUCGGCUAACUCCGUGCCAGCAGCCGCGGUAAUACGGAGGAUCCGAGCGUUAUCCGGAUUUAUUGGGUUUAAAGGGAGCGUAGAUGGGUUGUUAAGUCAGUUGUAAAAGUUUGCGGCUCAACCGUAAAAUUGCAAUUGAUACUGGCAGUCUUGAGUACAGUUGAGGUAGGCGGAAUUCGUGGUGUAGCGGUGAGAUGCUUAGAUAUCACGAAGAACCCCGAUUGCGAAGGCAGCUUACUAAACUGUGACUGACAUUGAUGCUCGAAAGUGUGGGUAUCAAACAGGAUUAGAUACCCCUGUAGUC
This 460-nucleotide ribosomal RNA is filed under the name uncultured bacterium. RNAcentral describes it as "partial 16S ribosomal RNA". It matches the Rfam family "Bacterial small subunit ribosomal RNA", at positions 338 to 795 of the family's 1533-position model. The record is from RNAcentral.